ACGCUCGACACCUACGGGAGUCAGCAGUGGGGAAUAUUGCACAAUGGGGGAAACCCUGAUGCAGCGACGCCGCGUGAAGGAAGAAGUAUCUCGGUAUGUAAACUUCUAUCAGCAGGGAAGAAAAUGACGGUACCUGACUAAGAAGCCCCGGCUAAUUACGUGCCAGCAGCUGACGUAUCNGAGGCGGNGNGACGAG
This 196-nucleotide ribosomal RNA is filed under the name uncultured bacterium. Its description in RNAcentral is "partial 16S ribosomal RNA". It matches the Rfam family "Bacterial small subunit ribosomal RNA", at positions 328 to 537 of the family's 1533-position model. The record is from RNAcentral.